Molecule: ribosomal RNA, 426 nt
Filed under: uncultured bacterium
Lineage: Bacteria
Description: bacterial SSU rRNA
Rfam family: Bacterial small subunit ribosomal RNA
Source: RNAcentral
GUGAGGAAUUUUUCGCAAUGGGCGAAAGCCAGACGGAGCAAUGCCGCGUGAAGGAUGAAGGCCUAUGGGUUGUAAACUUCUUUUCUCAGAAAAGAAUUAUGACGGUAUCUGAGGAAUAAGCAUCGGCUAACUCUGUGCCAGCAGCCGCGGUAAGACAGAGGAUGCAAGCGUUAUCCGGAAUGAUUGGGCGUAAAGCGUCUGUAGGUUGUUUAAAAAGUAUUCUGUCAAAGAUUAGGGCUUAACCCUAGAUAGGCAGAAUAAACUUUUAAGCUAGAGUUUGGUAGAGGCAGAGGGAAUUCCCGGUGGAGCGGUGAAAUGCGUAGAUAUCGGGAGGAACACCAAAGGCGAAGGCACUCUGCUGGGCCAAUACUAACACUGAGAGACGAAAGCGAGGGGAGCAAAUGGGAUUAGAAACCCUUGUAGUCC